This is a non-coding RNA of Odocoileus virginianus texanus, 253 nucleotides long. Lineage: Eukaryota; Metazoa; Chordata; Mammalia; Artiodactyla; Cervidae. The record is from RefSeq and is a predicted model, not a curated record.
AGAUUGAAUCUGCAGGUCUAACUAUGGCCUAGUUAUCAGACCUUGAAGUUUCUUCAGCUCUUAUUAUGUUCUCUAUUUAAAAAAUUCUUUUUCAGAUGUUCCCUGGGUAUAGACUUUUUCUUUGGAAGACCUCCGGGACAAGGGUACUGUCUUCUCCAGCAGUCUCACACAGCAUUUGUACAAUGGCACAGAAAAACAGUUUUUAAAAAUUGAAGUACAGUUGAUUUGCAGUGUUAAACUAGUUUCAGGUAUA